UGGGAAGUCCAGCUGGCACAACAAACAGGUUUCGCUAUUCAAUCUGUACGUAGCCUUGGUCUACCACCACUCUUUCUUUCAGGCUUACGGUUAUAACUGGUUUAUUAGCUGCCCAGAUACUAGAUUUAUUGAUGAGACACCAUUUAGCAUGGGAUGAGACGAAGGGAAUUCCCACGAAUGAAGGAGGCGGAGAUCUGUCUCCUAGAUGAAAUGGUAUCGGCACAGACAGACUUUCUCUCAUAGCAAGCUAUAGUCUGUGAAAUAACAUUGUUUUACUGAAAGGUAGAAUAAAUGCAAAAAAGA
This is an RNA transcript of Aplysia californica (California sea hare), 303 nucleotides long. RefSeq lists it as uncharacterized. NCBI's taxonomy places the organism in Eukaryota, Metazoa, Mollusca, Gastropoda, Aplysiida, Aplysiidae. The record is from RefSeq and is a predicted model, not a curated record. The transcript is spliced from 2 exons.